Molecule: ribosomal RNA, 254 nt
Filed under: uncultured bacterium
Lineage: Bacteria
Description: partial 16S ribosomal RNA
Rfam family: Bacterial small subunit ribosomal RNA
Source: RNAcentral
UACGGGAGAUCCUAGCGUUAUCCGGAAUUACUGGGCGUAAAGAGUUGCGUAGGUGGCAUAGUAAGCAAAUAGUGAAAGCGUGCGGCUCAACCGCAUAUCCAUUAUUUGAACUGCUAAGCUUGAGUAUGGGAGAGGUAGAUGGAAUUUCUAGUGUAGGAGUGUAAUCCGUAGAUAUUAGAAGGAACACCGAUGGCGUAGGCAGUCUACUGGCCCAUUACUGACACUAAGGCACGAAAGCGUGGGGAGCGAACGGG